UUUAACUGGAGAGUUUGAUCCUGGCUCAGAACGAACGCUGGCGGCGUGCCUAACACAUGCAAGUCGAACGAGAAAGGGACUUCGGUCCUGAGUAAAGUGGCGCACGGGUGAG
Molecule: ribosomal RNA, 112 nt
Filed under: Deltaproteobacteria bacterium
Lineage: Bacteria; Pseudomonadati; Myxococcota; Myxococcia
Description: partial 16S ribosomal RNA
Rfam family: Bacterial small subunit ribosomal RNA
Source: RNAcentral